UGAGACAGGAAGAUUGCCUGAACCCAGGAAAUGGAGGCUGCAGUGAGCUGUGAUGAUGCCACUGAACUCCAGCCUGGGUGACAGAGCAAAACAGUCUCA
This 99-nucleotide microRNA precursor is filed under the name Otolemur garnettii (small-eared galago). RNAcentral describes it as "miRNA (ENSOGAG00000025767.1)". The record is from RNAcentral. Lineage: Eukaryota; Metazoa; Chordata; Mammalia; Primates; Galagidae.